UUGCUGGCCAACGGCAGGGUCUGAAGGAAGCCAUAGGAAGUCAGAGGUACACAGCGCAAGCGAACCUGAUUCGGCAGGUUGGGUGCGGUAAGCGUGCAAAAUAGCGCAAAGCCCGAUACUCAGUCAGUCCCAACUCUGUGUUUGAGGGUGGCAUCUCUGGCAGGAAACCGUU
Molecule: non-coding RNA, 172 nt
Filed under: Endozoicomonas montiporae CL-33
Lineage: Bacteria; Pseudomonadati; Pseudomonadota; Gammaproteobacteria; Oceanospirillales; Endozoicomonadaceae
Source: RNAcentral